UAGGGAAUAUUGGGCAAUGGGCGGAAGCCUGACCCAGCCAUGCCGCGUGCAGGAUGAAGGCCUUCUGGGUUGUAAACUGCUUUUACCAGGGAAGAACACACUCCUGCGGGAGGGACUGACGGUACCUGGGGAAUAAGCACCGGCUAACUCCGUGCCAGCAGCCGCGGUAAUACGGAGGGUGCAAGCGUUGUCCGGAUUUAUUGGGUUUAAAGGGUGCGUAGGCGGCCCCUUAAGUCAGUGGUGAAAGCCCGCAGCUCAACUGCGGAACUGCCAUUGAUACUGGGGGGCUUGAGUACAGACGAGGUAGGCGGAAUUGAGGAUGUAGCGGUGAAAUGCUUAGAUAUCCUCAAGAACACCGAUUGCGUAGGCAGCUUACUAGGCUGUAACUGACGCUGAGGCACGAAAGCGUGGGGAGCGAACAGG
This 423-nucleotide ribosomal RNA is filed under the name uncultured bacterium. RNAcentral describes it as "bacterial SSU rRNA". It matches the Rfam family "Bacterial small subunit ribosomal RNA", at positions 355 to 776 of the family's 1533-position model. The record is from RNAcentral.